RNAcentral lists this long non-coding RNA (1589 nucleotides) under Pelobates cultripes (western spadefoot toad). The record is from RNAcentral. Lineage: Eukaryota; Metazoa; Chordata; Amphibia; Anura; Pelobatidae.
GUAAACAACGGGUUAAUUGGUAGUGUAUGGAGUCCCCUGGUGCUGUCCUUCCAUUCAGCAUCAAACCACUUUAAUGGUUUAAUGCUAAAUAAGAGCCCCCAGCAACCCAUCCCCUCUAUUGUACUUGGUCUGCUGAGGAAGCCUUAGCCUGAGCAGCAAUGGUAGUGUCAGCUGACCAAAUUUAUCCUAUCACAGUGCUAUAGCAGGUAUAAAUUGGUAUAGCUACCAGGAAAAGCUCUCUCCCCUCUCUCCCCCCCUCUUUGUUCCUAUGAAGACUUUGCCAAUUAAUAUCCUUGUUAAGAGUGCAUUGAACAAAUAUGCUAUCUUUUCAGAUAAGAAGAACCCACAGCAGAAUCCUGUGUCCCAAAACAUAUGCAAUAGGGCCCAUUGGCCAGCAGUGGACUUCAAAAAGCAUUGACUUGGAAAUAUUGUGCUGUUAUAGUAUGCCAAGAACUUUUUAACAUUGUAAUAUGUAUUUAAAUAUUUCUAAACACUUACAUAUUGUUUGUAAUGAAUAAAUGUGGUAUGAUUACAGGUGUGCCGAGUUUUGCCAUAGGCUCAAAAAAAAUCUGCUCUUAGCCAAGGAUAGGAUGGAUGUUAGCUGUUUAACAGUCAUAUGCAUUUUUUUCUGAGUUUGGCUUUGGUUGUCCAUUGCUUGCACGAACAUGUGCAAAUACCCAGUUUUAUGAUUGAUCUCUGCUCCUAAUUAUAGUUAAUUAUAUUGCAAUUAAUUGGGCCGAAACCUGGUAUGUGUAAUGCAAAAUGUUUUCUAAACCUCGCUGUCAAUGGCUUAAUCAGUAUAAAUUGUGGUAAGAAAAUGGAUAGUAGAUGAUUGGGUAUUUAUUGCCUUCUAUUAUGUUUAGGAAUCAUUAUAUUUGGGCAGAAGGCUAGGCAUCUAUUGGUCCUACAAAUCAGUAGCUUUCUCUAAUUAUAGGCUCGCUCGCUGGCUCCCAGGUACUAGAGUUGACUAAAACAUGAGAAUAUUAUUCUUCCCACCUAGCAACGCCCCUGAUGCUAGUAGUCAUUGCCAACCUUUUCAAAGUUCAAUCAGGAAUCAAUAAAAAAUUUCAGCAGUUUAUAUUUAAUCUUUGGCCAUAUAACUGAUAAAACAAUGUUGAUAAUAAAGCUUUGCUGCCAUAAUAGUGCAGGCAUCAAGCUGCUCAUGAAUGCUUUCCGUAAACAAUGGGUUAAUUGGUAGUGUAUGGAGUCCCCUGGUGCUGUCCUUCCAUUCAGCAUCAAGCCACUUUAAUGGUUUAAUGCUAAAUAAGAGCCCCCAGCAACCCAUCCCCUCUAUUGUACUUGGUCUGCUGAGGAAGCCUUAGCCUGAGCAGCAAUGGUAGUGUCAGCUGACCAAAUUUAUCCUAUCACAGUGCUAUAGCAGGUAUAAAUUGGUAUAGCUACCAGGAAAUGUGUAAUCUCUGCCUUAGUCUUACCUCCAGUGGGGCCAGGGCUAUGGAAGCCAGGAACCAAUUCGUUCUAAACUUCUCAAAAAUGGUUUAAUACUGAAUGAAUGGAGCGACAGUGCCAGGGGUUUUCAGGCACUAUACCCAAUUCAAGGAGAUGAAAUGGUCAUAGAGCCUACAGUGUCC